AUGAGGUGCCACAGACUUCUAGUAGAAAUGGGCAGCCUUCACUCACAUUCUUUCUUCGGAAGCAUGGAGCAUCUGUUUGUAACAGCUGAAGGGAAGAAACAGCGCUUGUGAUCGUGUAGUUGUGGACAAAUGUGUUGUGAUAUGCUGCAAGACUCCAUCAAAGAAGUGACCAGAGCACCGUCUGCCGCGGGCUCUCCCCCUUCCCACCCUGCUGCCCUUCCCCUGGGAAGCACAGACGUGUCUGCAGCCAGCGGGGCUGGGAGCAGCGUCAGCGGGGCGCUGGGAAGCGGUGACCCCAAUAAGCGGGAAUGGGACGAGAAGUGUUCGGAGCAGGAGUCAGAGUGAGGAGGUGACACAUCGCCGCACCGUGACUCAGGAGAAAGGCCAGGUCCUGAGGGCCUGUUGACUGCAGUGGGAGUUUGUUGGCCCACGGUGCAGCUAAACAAAAUACAAGAAAUACAAGCUGUGGCACAGAUCGUAGCUCAGAUGAGACGGUCCUGUAACCAGUCUGAGGAGUGCUGGGCCCUCGCCAGCGAGCUACUUGCAACACACGAGGAACAAAGAGAAAUUUCACUUUGAACUAGGCUGUCCUAUAUCCAGAAGAACUGUUGCGUUUUUUGUAUGCUGUACAAAUAAUGCACUGCUUGUAUCACUGUACCUAUUCCGCACCAAAUACCUGGGUUAUCUACCUGUGAAUUAAGAAAACAGGUGUGUGUGCACUGUAGGGUGCGUGGCAUUGCGGCAUCAGACCUCAUUAAAUGCCAUUUAAUGGCAUUUCACUUGUUCUGGAAGCAAGCGGGAUCUGCUCCUGCUGUGGAGUCCCACAUGACACAGACAGCCUGCUUUCGGUCCUCUGACUUCUUUGAAGCAAAUAGUUCCUGAAGGGGAGACUGAGGAACAGUUCGUGCCUCAGAUUUGCCCGCUUACAGGCAGCCUUGUGGAGCUGGGAUGUAGUCCCUGUUGGGAGUGAUUUCUCUUCUGGGAACACAGGACCGAGCAGGGAUCUGUCAUUGCGGAUCUGGAAAGAGUUAAUGAAAGCAGAGCUUGUCUGGCCAAGGGGCUGGUGCGGCUCCAGCAGAGCAGUGACUCACCGAUAGAGCAUCCUGCCAAAGCACCCAGCGAGCUCCUCAUCCUCAGAUCCUCCUCUCCAAACAUAAUAGUGUGAAUUGGUCCAGCAUCAUGGCUAGAAAGGUUUGUCUCUUGCAGCACCUGCUCUUCCCACUCAGUUCGAUACUCUGCUUGCUUAAGAAACCUCCUUGCAUUGUCUGGCAGGUGAGACCUUGCACGUCUGGCUGUUAUGUUGGUCCUGUGGUGCAACCCCCGGUAAUCUCAGGGCUCUCUACAGGACUGAAGAAGGUAGAGGUUAAGAGAAUAAUUUAAACGGGUAAGGAAAAGGCCAAAGGGAGGACCGAAGCAGGUUGACUGGGUGACUUAUUGGAGGAUGAGCCUUGGAACUGACCAAGUUUGGUGCUUUCGCCGUUGAGCUUGGCUCAAAAAGAAGCACGGAGCGAUGAGACUUGGUGGUGGCAUCCUGCUUACCAAACAGCCUGUGCUCAGCACCAUGCUGCCCUGGGUGUGAUCCUCUGCCUCAGUCGCUCACCAUUUCCCUCCCUUUGGACAGGGGAAUCCAGUGAGGAGCCGGGCAGGGUACCCCCCCGGCUGCUGAGUGUCACUGAGGAGCACGGGCAGGGGAACCAGCAAUGCGUGGUCUGAGGGCUGGCUGGUGUUCUCCAGAGGCACAUGAACUGAGUUUCAUUAAAAAUGGAUGCUUUCCUUCCUGCUGAACCCUUGUCCCCCUCCUCAGUUACCAAAAGAGGGCCACUGAUGAGUCACAGAAAGCGCCAACACAGUGGCAGAGUGACAGUGCCGGCAGCAGCAAGGGAGGGCUCGCGGUCUUGGCAAUGAGCUGAAUUUAUACCACUUUGAAUCCAGACUGGCACAGCGUAAAUAUAUGGAUUAGUACCGGUACAACAGAACAAAACCUGAGGAGGAGGGUUUAAACAAGGCAUAAUUUGUAGUAACAACAAAAUUGCAGGGUUUCAUUACUUCAGCUCCCAACCCUCACACCUCAGCCUCGCCACAAAGAAAAUAUCUGCCUCCCCGUUCUUCUGCAGCUGAGCAUUUCUCAAAAUAUCUGAGCAUUUUUAAAAACAUCACUGUUUGGGUAGCCAGCCUGGGAAGCGUGGCCUGUCGCUGCGGGAAGGCCAGCUGUGAAAAUACACAGCAUUAGGGUAAUCAGCGCAGGGUGGGAAGACGAAAAGGGACACACGUGUCCGACGCUGAAUCUGUUUGGAAGGUGGAAAGUGAGCGGUUCCCGUGCGAUUCCCCUCCCUCGGCAGGCUCUGUGCAGGUUGCUGCAGUGGCUGUGCUCGCGGCUGGCUGCCGGGGAGGCACGGGGACACGAGAGCUCCUGGGGUCAGCCGGGUCCAGGCGUGGGCAUUCCCUAGCUCCCGUUACCCGUCGCGCGCCGGUGAGCACGGGCUGCUUCUCCGUGUUGGAGGUGGUUUCAGAUUGACAAGAUCAAGUGACGGCACGACUGUAGGCACCUUUAUCUGCUGUAUGCAUAAUCCUCCGCGCUGAACCCCCGCCAAACUCAUCCCCAGGUCUUAUCUUUUCUAAACUGAGUAUUUAUUCAUGUGGUUGUUUUAUGUAAACUGCAAAGAGCCUCAUUAAAUGGAAACCUUCGCUCACAAGCUCCAUUAUUAAGGUGGAACGGCGCUCGGGACCCGCUGAGCAGAAUCCCGAAGCUUUUGUGUUUAGAGAAGAAAUGCUUGGUGCCCUGCAGUCCGGUGCUGAGCCUUCCCGUUACCCCCACACUCAGCUGGGAGGUGAAGCACUGAACUGCCCACUGCCUGCAGGAGGCUCCCCGAGGGCUGAGCGCAGGCGGCUUUGGGGCCAGGAGGGCAGGAACAGCCCCUGCCGAACAAGAAAGGGGAGCUCAGGACCUGCCCUGCCCUGGCAAACCAGGAGAAGCCCAUUUGGCUAUUGGAGAAGGACCGGGAAUGGGUGAGGGCGAUCUGGGCAAUUGCUCCGGGCACGGGGCUUGCAGCACCUUAGGAGCUGGCUGACAAGCUGGGAGCUUUGGGAGGAGGGCAGUUUUUUGCAGAUAAAACCCCAUCACCGGCAUGGUGGUGUUCACUGCAGGUAAAUCCCAAUAUUUCCGUGAGUUUUAUUUGUAUUAUAAAUGCUAAUGGCAGAGUUUGAAACAAAAGGCACACACGCAUGGUUAACGUACUGGCAGCGCUCGUAUCUCUCUGAAGCUGGAAAUGAAUUCUGCUCUGUGUUUUCUCCUUUCUUAGCCCGACUGAACCCAGUCUGUACUUCAGCAGCCACCAGGACUGUGACGUUCCCGUUUCAGCAAACAAGAGCCCCCAUGGCAUUUUGCUCCUAAACAACGGACGGCUGCUCAUCAGACUAAAAUUAAAGAAGGUAACAAAUCAAUAGCCCAAACCCGCACUCCUUUUGGACAAUCAGCAUUUCAGGGCCGGCUUGUUUUCCACAGUGAGGCACGGCUCUUCUUUAUUCAAACCCUCCAGCGGCAUUAACAUGCUCGGUGCGGAUCUCUGCCCUGUCAUACUUCUUAUCUCAAGGACAGCACCUCCGACAGCAAAAUGCCCCAUCCAUCACGUGGGAAUAUUAGCAAGCGUCCGGUCCUCUCGAGGAUGAAUAAAACCUGGGGCCCGCUGGCUCCACGCCAAGCCGACCGCUUCCGAAAGCUGCCACGGCCCUCCCAGGCCAUUCAAGCAGCCGAGCUGUUUCUUUAGGGCAGCGGGCACAUGUGAUUAAGCGACUGAAUAUUUUUUGGGAAAAAAGAAAAAGAUCGGGAAGCCGAAAGGGACUCGCUGUGUGUGCCCAAAAUCAGGCCGAGCCCCCCGCAGAGCCGUGUGCGCGCUCCCGGAUGUGUGCACGGGGCCAGGACGUCGUCCCGGUGCCCCGCUGGGCGCGGGGAUCUCGGUGCUCGUGUGGCUGUGUGCAUGCGUGCGUUUUCUUUCCCUUUGUUUUGGUUGGUGUUUCUAAUCCCCCGGGGCAUAUCUCUGAGCUGAGGAACUUUAGAGCUGAUACAGCUUUUUAAAGUGGGGAUUAUGUAAAUGCAUAUUACGGGGCUUUCAUAAAUAGGGAUUAUUUGUCGAAUACAUUUGAGUGCUUCCUUUGGAGCCAUUAAGGUCUGUUGUGUAAAUAGGAAUUUAGUGACUGCUUAAUCUAAGUUUCAUUGAUUCAAUAAAAGAUCACAACAGCAUUUUUUGCAUUCAUCUCGGCCCUGUGAGAACAAUUCUUUAUGGACAAUUUUCAGAUGGUUACAGGACCAUAUACACUUCAUGCUAACCGUGGUGAGCAUGCCUUGCACGUCUGCAUCAACCAUUCUCCACGAGUCACUGUUUCCCUUCCUCAGUAGUUUUGUAAUUAAAAUCACUGUCGUCUCAGCCACUAACUUCUAAGGUAUCACUUACUAAAUUAUCACUCACUUACUGGCCCUGCACCACCAAGCCUCGCAGAUCCCGUUGGCACCGCACGGGA
Molecule: long non-coding RNA, 4515 nt
Organism: Cygnus olor (mute swan)
Lineage: Eukaryota; Metazoa; Chordata; Aves; Anseriformes; Anatidae
Exons: 3
Source: RefSeq, a predicted model, not a curated record